AGAGUUUGAUCAUGGCUCAGAUUGAACGCUGGCGGCAUGCCUUACACAUGCAAGUCGAACGGCAGCACGGGAGCAAUCCUGGUGGCGAGUGGCGAACGGGUGAGUAAUACAUCGGAACGUGCCCAGUUGUGGGGGAUAGCCCGGCGAAAGCCGGAUUAAUACCGCAUACGACCUGAGGGUGAAAGCGGGGGACCUGCAAGGGCCUCGCGCAGUUGGAGCGGCCGAUGGCAGAUUAGCUAGUUGGUGGGGUAAAGGCUCACCAAGGCGACGAUCUGUAGCUGGUCUGAGAGGACGACCAGCCACACUGGGACUGAGACACGGCCCAGACUCCUACGGGAGGCAGCAGUGGGGAAUUUUGGACAAUGGGCGCAAGCCUGAUCCAGCCAUGCCGCGUGCGGGAAGAAGGCCUUCGGGUUGUAAACCGCUUUUGUCGGGGAAGAAACGCUCCGGGUUAAUACCUUGGAGUAAUGACGGUACCUGGAGAAUAAGCACCGGCUAACUACGUGCCAGCAGCCGCGGUAAUACGUAGGGUGCGAGCGUUAAUCGGAAUUACUGGGCGUAAAGCGUGCGCAGGCGGCCAUGCAAGACAGAUGUGAAAUCCCCGGGCUCAACCUGGGAACUGCAUUUGUGACUGCAUGGCUGGAGUGCGGCAGAGGGGGAUGGAAUUCCGCGUGUAGCAGUGAAAUGCGUAGAUAUGCGGAGGAACACCGAUGGCGAAGGC
Molecule: ribosomal RNA, 721 nt
Filed under: uncultured bacterium
Lineage: Bacteria
Description: bacterial SSU rRNA
Rfam family: Bacterial small subunit ribosomal RNA
Source: RNAcentral